AGGACGAACGCUGGCGGCGUGCUUAACACAUGCAAGUCGAGCGGAAAGGCCCUUCGGGGUACUCGAGCGGCGAACGGGUGAGUAACACGUGAGUAACCUGCCCCUAGCUCUGGGAUAGCUCCGGGAAACCGGGAUUAAUACCAGAUACGACCACUUUAGACAUCUGUCGUGGUGGAAAGGAUUCCGGCUAGGGAUGGGCUCGCGGCCUAUCAGCUUGUUGGUGGGGUAACGGCCUACCAAGGCGACGACGGGUAGCCGGCCUGAGAGGGCGACCGGCCACACUGGGACUGAGACACGGCCCAGACUCCUACGGGAGGCAGCAGUGGGGAAUAUUGCGCAAUGGGCGAAAGCCUGACGCAGCGACGCCGCGUGGGGGAUGAAGGCCUUCGGGUUGUAAACCCGUUUCAGCAGGACGAAGCGAAAGUGACGGUACCUGCAGAAGAAGCGCCGGCUAACUACGCGCCAGCAGCCGC
RNAcentral lists this ribosomal RNA (473 nucleotides) under uncultured bacterium. RNAcentral's name for it is "SSU rRNA". It matches the Rfam family "Bacterial small subunit ribosomal RNA", at positions 26 to 518 of the family's 1533-position model. The record is from RNAcentral.